RNAcentral lists this long non-coding RNA (212 nucleotides) under Elaeis guineensis (African oil palm). Its description in RNAcentral is "long non-coding RNA (EGUI_LNC048857)". The record is from RNAcentral. Lineage: Eukaryota; Viridiplantae; Streptophyta; Magnoliopsida; Arecales; Arecaceae.
CCUGGGUGUUGGGUGUCUGAGGUAUUCAGAUCGGAUUUUCAAUUUCUCUCCAUUGCUCCCCUUUCUUUCUUACAACCCAUCCUAAUUUUAGGACAAGGCUUUGGGAUUUAAGGCAAAGCUUUAUCUUGUCCUAACAAGGGUUGUGAGAGUCCAAAAGAAAAAAAUUAAAAAUUCAGAGGAGGUUCUAAGAGGGUGAAGUCAGGUUCUUGGAG